Molecule: ribosomal RNA, 156 nt
Filed under: uncultured bacterium
Lineage: Bacteria
Description: partial 16S ribosomal RNA
Rfam family: Bacterial small subunit ribosomal RNA
Source: RNAcentral
UGGGGAAUAUUGCACAAUGGGCGCAAGCCUGAUGCAGCGACGCCGCGUGCGGGAUGGAGGCCUUCGGGUUGUAAACCGCUUUUGUUCAAGGGCAAGGCACGGCUUCGGGCCGUCGUUGAGUGGAUUGUUCGAAUAAGCACCGGCUAACUACGUGCC